Long non-coding RNA from Dermacentor silvarum, 2005 nucleotides. RefSeq lists it as uncharacterized. Lineage: Eukaryota; Metazoa; Arthropoda; Arachnida; Ixodida; Ixodidae. The record is from RefSeq and is a predicted model, not a curated record. The transcript has 3 exons.
CCCUGGGCUUGUGCGCCGCCUCCAAGACGCUGCUCAUAUUUGGAGUCAUCGCUUUGGACUCUAUUGUCUCUGGACAUAGAAGUCAACCGUGAACGUGUCUCCACUGGAAGUAACAUCAAGGGCCAGAAUCCUCACAGGGAAGACGGACAAAAGAGAGAUUAUUGGUCUGCAAGCUGCCCACGCUAAGCCACAAGAUGCUCAACCGUCACCAUAAUGACAACAAGUCCUCUUGAACUACGUGCCUCACUAUGAAAUGUUUGGAAGUUUACCAGAUAGAGAGGUGUGAGCCCUAUUAGGAAAACAGCAGUCUACAGUUCUGUAUCAUACUGAGCGGGAAUGAGAAAUUUGACAUACAAGCUUAGUUGCUUUUAAGGGCGCUUUAUGACAAUCGGAGAAGUAACAUGUUGAGUCCCAACUUGUUUCUUUUGCAGUCAUUAUAGCCAUGACGACCAGAACAGAAACAAUGUAGCAAGCUCCUACUUGCUAAUGCACAAACUCUGUCAUGUGCUCUUUGCAAAUCAAUUUGACGGGCAUUAGUACCACAAAGUAUCACAUGCUCCCUCACAACGAUAAUUUGAUACAUGAAAAUGCAAAGAAUUUUAAAAUGAUCAAAAGCACUUAAUGCAAUUUUAAGGAAAUGACACUUCAUGUUGACUGAAACUCUGGCAGUCACUCUUCAUUUUAUUUUUUGCUUAAAGUACCCUCAGGGGCACAGGCAUUAAAGAGGGGAGUGGUUACAAAGUAGUAGAGUAAAACAAACAAGUGUAGUGAGUUCUUGUAACAUAAUGAUUCUCCUGAUUAUACAAUGUUUGCUAAUGUUUUGCAAAAAAUGUUUGUUAUCUGUGAUGGCUACGAUACUUGGUGGUUCCAUUUCUGAGAUGUACGGGGCAUGAAAGAAAGACUUCGUGUUACAUGAAUCAAUUCCUACCUUACUGUGAUGAUUGACUCAGUUUGAAAUGCACUGAGGCCGCAGUAUGAAGUCAUGAAGUGUGGUGUGACAGAAAAUUUUAUGAAAUAGCGAAAGAUGGCCGACUUUCCGGCGAUUAGCUAGUGGAAUGAGUGCUAGGCCAGUUUACAUUGAAGUUAUACUUGCGGUACGGUUAUAAUUAGAAAUAAUGAAACGGAGUAGAGUUACUGUGUACUAGUUCAAGUGAAGUAAUAAGAUUAACGCGACUGGCAUCCCAUAUUGCAGAUGCAUAUUCAAGUUUCCAGCGAAUUAGUCUUGUAAAGCUGUAGUUCUAAAGUAGACAGUGCUUUGGAAAAGUUGCGCCAUAAGUACCCGAGCAUGUGAUUAGCACUGCUAAUGACGUACUCUAUAUUAUAGGUCCAAUUUAAGUUAUUUGUAAUGUGUACACUGAGAUAUUUAUAUGACAUGACAAAAUCUAAGGGAACGUUAGCAUGGCAAGCGCUAGGAUUAGAAUUAGAUCUGGAAAUGCGCAUGAUUUUACAUUUGUUUACUACAAAAGGCUCAUAUACAGUUUGCAUGAAAUCAAUAACUAGGCUAGUACUGCACCAUAAGAGAUAGCUAGAAAAGGCAAGCUCAAACAACUGGCCAGCCUAUUUCACACUUCACAAACUUGAGAAAUCACUAAAAGCAAAUUUUCUUUCUCUUCAAACAGCAGAUGACAAAACCUGCGCACAGUGUGCUCCCAAAAAUAUUUUGAAAUUUACUCGCAGAAUAAGUUCAGCUUAACAUUCAGCUAAUCAACUGUGAACGAGCAAGGGAAACCUCAGCGUGGGAACUUGUCUUCGUCUCGGCCCUCACAAAUAUGUUUGCUUGGUGAAACGCUGGCUCCAAGCUGAGGCUUCCCUUGCUCACCUGUUACUCAACUGAAGUGUUCAUCUCCUUGCAACCUCUUUGCUGUGUUUGAAUACAUAUACCGAGAUUCUUUUUCAACAUGAAACCACAAACUCCAUUUUCCAAGGAUGUGUGAGCAUUAAUUGGGCUCGCUUAUAUGUUGAUUUAGUGUCCUUGUUUAUUCACACAAUAUUUCCAGAAGUCCUU